UUACAUGCCCUGGGUGUUUGUGUCCUGUUUUCUGUGCUUGUGUGCUGUUUUCUCUGUCUCUCUCUCCCUGCAGGUUUCUCCACUGCAGUAGAGGUGUGGCUGAUCUGCUGAUGAGCAGCAGACUAUAGCUGCGUUUCCAUUACAUUUUUUCGCAAAAUUAAAGCGAUGUUUAUCAAAUUUCGACAAAGUACAAUUGCGAUUUGCGGGUGUUUCCAUUGAAUGGUGUUCAGUGUAUAAGCGAGCCGUCUGCCUCUCGUGAGCCGUGUUUGAAUGGCCGUGUUCCUUAAGCCUUUUUGCACACCAACAUGGAGGAGUUACAUUUCUCUUUUAUUAUUUGUAGAAAUAACUCCGUCUCCUCCUCCGUCCACACAUACCGCACCAUCUUUGCUUGAAAUGAACUGGUCACAUGACCCGCUACGUCACGUCCAGUGAUGUAGAAUUGCGAGAAUAGUGUUUCCAUUACACUUUUGCGAUAUACUUCGAUAUCGACACGUCUGAAAAACCACCUCAUGAGAACGUAAAAACUUUUAGCAAUAUUUGAGAGGUUUUUCGAAAUGUAGGUGUUUCCAUUACCAGUUUUCUAUUGCGAUAUUUAGGUUUUGCGCAAAUCUAUGGGUAAUGGAAACCCAACUUAUAUUAAGUAAGCGAGUACUGUGGUCUCUCUCUCUCCCAUUCCUUCCUCUGGCAGUGAUCCUGUGUGGACCUGGUUCAAAGAGUGUGUGACUCUGGUGUGGUUCAGUAUUGGCUGGACUAAGCAGGCCUCCAGUGGCAGUGGAGCCUGCAGUGCUUUUGCUGUUUACCUUUUGUUACCUUAGCCUCCCAUUUUGUUGUAUUUGGUGUUUUUCUCGGCCUAGUGCUUGUUUUACGUUUGUUAUGUAACCUCAAAGAAUAAACUUUUCUGUUUUAUAAAUUACCUUGGACACCAUUACUUAACAUUGGUUCUUUUUUAAACUGUUGUUGCUACCUUCAUCCCCUUUUCACAUCUUUUGGUUCGCUGGGCUGUAUCAUGUUCCUUUUACCUUGGUUACAAGUGUAAGUAAUGAUGUCUGCAUGCCAAGUUAGCUUACCUUUACUGUGUAUUAACAGCUUCCUCAGGUGAGUUAGGGGAGUGUCUUGCUGGGCUGUAUCAGCCUUUCUAACAGGCGCUCAUUUAUUGUUUUGCCUUUUUUAUUUUCAGAGUAAUCCUGGGUGGAGAUUUAAAUCUCCAAAGGGGGCUGGCAUUUCAGAGUUUCAACCGCUGAUGUGUUGCCUGUAAGUCGCCUCGAGCCUGGCAUGCUCCAGAAGAUAGGUAGGUAGAGUUCAAUUAGGCAGGUUCUGAGGGGGUUUGUUUUUGGUAAGGUUAGAUUGUGCUCAGUUUGUUUGGUGUGGCAUUUGACAUUAAUCUUACGUGUUGACACCGGUGUUUGUGAUUCGAUAGUAGUAGCUUUAGUUUACCUUGCUAAGUGUUGGCUGGACUUCCUGUUUUUCCCUGUUUGCCUGGUCUGGCUGUACUCUUUUCCAGAGCUUCCUCCCCUCCCCCGGCGCUGAGGCUGAGUGAGACGACAUACCUGCUCCUCAUCUCCAAUCAAGGGACUUUAAGAAGCCUGCAGCCCUCAGUCUCAGCGCCUGAGUAUUGUCUACCCUUCCUAGCGGUACAGACGCAUCUCCUGGCCUUCGUCGUUGGUAUAACGUUCUGAACUUUACUCCUUGUGCCUCUUUGCAUGUCCUUUAACUCCUGUCUCCUCUGUUUUCUCCUGCAGUGUCUCCAGCCCACACGACAGCCAGCCAACCAACCGGACUUCCUUUGUUUCCUUAUCUAUCCCUUUCUGUUUUUGGACAUUAAAUUCGUUUUACGUUGAGCUCUGUCUCAGUGUCUGCUUCUGGGUCCUCACUACAAGCCUGCCUCACAACACGGUGUUUGUGAUUCGAUAGUAGUAGCUUUAGUUUACCUUGCUAAGUGUUGCUAGGCUAUUUUUGGUUGUGCUGCAUUUCUUGUUUUUUCUCUUUUACAAUGGCAGCUUUUGAUGUGACUUUGUUUGUAUCAAAUCCAAUGCUGACACAGUUUGAUAAAUGUUAAAGGAGUGAUCUGCGUGAAAUUGCAGAGUAUUAUUGUAUUCCUGUGUCCAGUUCUCUUGUUAAAGCUGAGAUGAAAGCUGUUCUUUUGGAGGGCUUAAUGAAUAAAGGCAUCUUUAGUUUACCUGUAUCAAGUGACACAGGGUUAGCAGGUGUGUUCUCUGCCGAGGAAUGCUCUGAUCCUCCAGUGGAGAAGGCGAGUGAGCCUCCUGUUGGUUUGACUCCUGUUGUACAAAGUGGUAAGGUUGAGGAAAAGCCGUUAACUUCGCCACAGUUUGUUCCUUUCUCAGCUGAGUCAACACCUGGCUCUGAGCUUGAUGCCUAGUUGAAGGUACAGUUAGCUCGCAUUCAAAUGGAGAAAGAGGAUCGGGAUCAGGAGUUUCAGCUCUGUAGAGAGCUCAAAGUUAAAAAGCUGGAAGCAGAAACUGCGAUUUAAUUGCAUCAGUUAGAAUUGCAGGCUGGUUCAGUGCAUUCUGUUGCCAGUACUGCACCCUCAUCUGGUUCUGCUACUGCGUUUAAUGUGAGAAGGCACAAUUCUUUGGUUCCUGUUUUUCGUGAGUCUGAGGUAGAAUCCAACUUUGGCGCAUUUGAGCAUAUUGCUGCUGCUUUGCAUUGGCCUAAUGAUGUGUGGUCUAUCCUGUUGCAGUAUAAAUUAACAGGUAAGGUUCUUGUUUGAGGCUUGUUCUUGUUUGUCAGAGCAGGAUGGUUUAAAUUAUGAUAAGGUGAAGAGUGCUAUCCUGCGCACUUAUGAGCUGGUGCCAGAGGCAUACAGACAGCGCUGUCACAGUCUUAGGAAACCAUCAAAUCAAACUUACAUUGACUUUGCCAGAGAGAAGGGAUUCUGUUUGACCUAUGGUGUGCAGCAUGCAAGACUGCUGAUUUUAACUCACUGCGCGAGUUGAUGUUGGUAAAGGAGUUUAAAAACUGUGUAAACAACCGUUUUGCUGUUUAUUUAAAUGAACAGAAAGUUUCCACUCUGCAGCAAGCUGUAAUCCUCGCUGAUGAGUUCAGACUCAUACACAAAAACCUGUUUGUCGCUCGUGAAUCCUCUCCCUGUGACUCUCAUGAGAGCACUGAUGCAAAUGUGUGUACAUCUGCUGCAUUGGGUCCAAAGGGAAGAAGGCCUUGUUUCUCCUGUCAUAAGUUUGACCAUUUGAUUGCUGAAUGCGCAGCGUGGAAGCAUAAGCAACAAGGGUCAGUUUCAAAACAGCCAAAGGGGGUGGGGUUGAUUAAAUCUUCUUCAAGUGUCCAGCUUCCUUUUCUUAAAGAGCCAGAUGACUGUUUCAAACCUUUUAUUUUUGAUGGGCUGGUUUCUCUGACAGGGAAAGCUGUGUUGCGGCAUGCUCACAGUCUCUGAUCCUAUCUGGUGUCAUGUCGUUGGGUGAACAUUCAGCCUGUGAUGUGAGUGCAGUGGUAAGGGGCAUUGAAAUGGGGUUUCUGCCUGCACCUCUCCACCACAUACAUAUGCAAUCUUCUUUAGCCACUGGGUUUUUUGAUGUAGGUGUCCGUUCAUGUUUUCCUAUUGAUGGCGUAGACUUAAUCAUGGGAAAUGAUAUAGCUAGUGGAAAAGUCUACCCUGUUCCUGAAGUCGUGAAUGUUCCAAUUCCAGACUCUGUACAUGACAGCUUAGUCCAGAAUCACCCUGAAGUCUUUACUGUAAGUGUGUUGACCAGAUCUCAGGCCUGUAAGCAGGCCAAGGAUGUUGACUUGUCUGAUACCUUGUUUGCAUCUGCUGUGGCAGGGGAUAAUCUGUCCUCACCAGUAAACUGCACCGUAGGGCUGAAAAAGGUGUAAGAGUCUGUUGCGGCACCAGUUCCUCUCCCUUUAACUCGAGAAUCACUCAUUUCUGCUCAGAAAAAUGAUCUUUCCCUGGUUAAGUGUAUUAGCGCUGCUUCUCAGAACUCUAGUGGGUGCAAAAAGGGGCAGUCGUUCUUUUUUGAUAAGGGUUUGUUGAUGCGCAGGUGGGCCUCUCAGCCAGUGAGUACUGGAGAUGGUUCAGGUGAGGAUUGGGGUACAGUGUACCAGAUAGUUGUGCCAAUUAGUUGUCGACAACAUGUGUUCGAAUUAAAAUUCAAGCACCAUUGGUCUGGACAUUUGGGAAUGACAAAGACUUAUGACGGUGUUCUACAACAUUUCUUCUGGCCAGGACUGAAAAGUGAUGUGUCGUAGUUCUGGUGUGCCUUUUGUAUUGUUUGUCAUUCGGGAUGCCAGGCAGGAGUCUUUGGGGUUCAGCCCAGCUGAAAUUGUCUUCGACCACAAUGUGCGUAGCCCCUUGAAAGUGUUGCAAGAGAAAUUUGUGUCUAGUGUAUCUCCUCAACUUAAUGUGUCUGAUUUUGUAUUCACCGUGCUGCCUUGCUUUGUGUGGACACAGUAUGGGGAAAUUUAAUUUUUUUGCUGCCAAGUCUCUCCUCUGUGGUGCCCUUGUGCUGGUUGCACCAAACUUCUCAGUGCUUUUCAAG
This 4511-nucleotide long non-coding RNA is filed under the name Xyrichtys novacula (pearly razorfish). The record is from RNAcentral. Lineage: Eukaryota; Metazoa; Chordata; Actinopteri; Labriformes; Labridae.